RNAcentral lists this ribosomal RNA (536 nucleotides) under Penicillium sp. PX-2011b. Its description in RNAcentral is "eukaryotic LSU rRNA". The stretch from base 176 to 328 matches the Rfam family "5.8S ribosomal RNA". Lineage: Eukaryota; Fungi; Ascomycota; Eurotiomycetes; Eurotiales; Aspergillaceae. The record is from RNAcentral.
UACGAGCUGAGGGCGUCUGGGUCACCUCCCACCCGUGUUUAUUUUACCUUGUUGCUUCGGCGGGCCCGCCUUAACUGGCCGCCGGGGGGCUUACGCCCCCGGGCCCGCGCCCGCCGAAGACACCCUCGAACUCUGUCUGAAGAUUGUAGUCUGAGUGAAAAUAUAAAUUAUUUAAAACUUUCAACAACGGAUCUCUUGGUUCCGGCAUCGAUGAAGAACGCAGCGAAAUGCGAUACGUAAUGUGAAUUGCAAAUUCAGUGAAUCAUCGAGUCUUUGAACGCACAUUGCGCCCCCUGGUAUUCCGGGGGGCAUGCCUGUCCGAGCGUCAUUGCUGCCCUCAAGCACGGCUUGUGUGUUGGGCCCCGUCCUCCGAUCCCGGGGGACGGGCCCGAAAGGCAGCGGCGGCACCGCGUCCGGUCCUCGAGCGUAUGGGGCUUUGUCACCCGCUCUGUAGGCCCGGCCGGCGCUUGCCGAUCAACCCAAAUUUUUAUCCAGGUUGACCUCGGAUCAGGUAGGGAUACCCGCUGAACUUAAGC